AUUGAACGCUGGCGGCAGGCCUAACACAUGCAAGUCGAGCGGAGCGGCGGACGGGUGAGUAAUGCCUAGGAAUCUGCCUGGUAGUGGGGGAUCACGUCCGGAAACGGGCGCUAAUACCGCAUACUAUCAGAUGAGCCUAGGUCGGAUUAGCUAGUUGGUGGGGUAAAGGCCUACCAGUGCGGCGCUCCGUGACUGUGCUGAGAGGAUGAUCAGUCAGCGUGGAACUGAGACACGUUCCAGUCUCCUUCGGGUUGCAGUACGGAGUAAUGUUGGACCAGGGGCGAGGGCCUGACCCAGCCAGGACGCGUGUGUGAAGCAGGUCUUCCGGUUGUAACGCACUUUUAGUUGGUGUGCGUUACCAACAUAAUAAGCACCCGCUAACUUCUUGCCAGCAGCCGCGGUAAUAC
RNAcentral lists this ribosomal RNA (407 nucleotides) under uncultured bacterium. RNAcentral's name for it is "partial 16S ribosomal RNA". It matches the Rfam family "Bacterial small subunit ribosomal RNA", at positions 30 to 526 of the family's 1533-position model. The record is from RNAcentral.